This is a non-coding RNA of Cricetulus griseus (Chinese hamster), 781 nucleotides long. NCBI's taxonomy places the organism in Eukaryota, Metazoa, Chordata, Mammalia, Rodentia, Cricetidae. The record is from RefSeq and is a predicted model, not a curated record.
AGUAACUUGGAUUCCCUAGGAAGACACAUUCGCGUUUGCCUCCCCCUUGCCUGUGUCCUCCGCCUGAGCUGUGGUUUUCCCCCAUUAGGGCUCAGCCGGGAGAGCUUUUUUCCCGCCCCUGUUUUGGAAGCGGCUCGUGGAUCUCGACCGAGCCCUCAAGGUUUGAUCCCAAUACAAAGCUGGGCAAGGAGGUCGCUGCUUCAAGUCUGUGCUCAGAGUGCAGGGCGUGCUUCCCUCCCACCAGUGAGAAGCAAAUGGCUGGAUUGUGGGCUCCUCACCCCGAGUCCCUUGGCAGGAGGAUCCCAUCUGCUGCUCCUCUUCCCCCACCCAGGUUUCCAAAUCCCAGAGGGAAACUUCUCAGCCCCCUAAUCGCCGCCAUCUGCUUUCUUCUUUCCAUCGCCAACCGGACCUCAGGACCCCGGGUGUGCGUCCAGGGUGGAGGGGUCCCCAGCAGAGAGGUAGGAGGGCAUGGGGUGGAGCGCCAGAGGAGGACUCAACUCAAGCGUCUGUCCUGAGGCCUGAGGGACCCCCAGCUGUCCGGGUCCCGCCACUCAGCACCCCUCACCCACCAGCAAGCAGCACCCUGGUCGGGCUCCGCUCAGAGCCACAGCCAGAGUGCGCCCCCUAGCGGGGCCUUCGGGUGGGCCGAGCCCUUCAGGUUCAGCCUCUAGGAACUGAAGUUGGCAGAUCCAAGUGAUCCUGCAGGCAUGAAUGGAAGAAAGAAAACAAAAGCCUUGCGAACAUUUCCAAGUGUUCAAUAAAAGACCCAUCUGUACCUUUU